GGUCUCAAACAAUCAUAUACCCCAACUACAACACUUCAAACACACACAAAUCAACAUACAUUGUUCAUCAAAACAUCAAAACCCAUAAACUCAUCAACAAGCCUAAACAUGCAUCUCUACCCAUAAAACAACUUAAUGCUUGUUUAAAACACAUAACAAGGGUGGAUCCGAGCUUACCUCUUGAAGAAACGAGAGGAAAGACGAUCCUAGCUUGGAGAUGGAGAGAUUGAGCUCUUUGAACCUCCAAGUACCCAAAACUUGCUCUUUACUCACAAAUCUUCAAAACAGAAGUUAAAACCCAUGAAAAUCAUGGAAGAUCUAAGGAAAACACUCAAGAUCGAGGGAGG
Molecule: long non-coding RNA, 347 nt
Filed under: Manihot esculenta (cassava)
Lineage: Eukaryota; Viridiplantae; Streptophyta; Magnoliopsida; Malpighiales; Euphorbiaceae
Description: long non-coding RNA (MESC_LNC001675)
Source: RNAcentral